RNAcentral lists this transfer RNA (64 nucleotides) under Alloeorhynchus sp. RNAcentral describes it as "tRNA-Cys". The record is from RNAcentral. Lineage: Eukaryota; Metazoa; Arthropoda; Insecta; Hemiptera; Nabidae.
AGCUUUAUAGUCAAUAUAUGAUUUUGGAUUGCAAGUCUAAAGUAGUAGUAACUUACUAAAGCUU